CCUUCGGGAACACGCGCAAGGGCGGGGAUUCGCGCUGCCAAUGAGGCCCGGGUGUGGGCCGCGCGAGGCGGGGGGACGGGCCAGAACGCAGCCUUCGCGGUGGCAGCUGCGGGAGCAUUGGCCGCGUCGGGAGCCGGAGGAGAGGCAACCGCGGACCGCCGAGCUGGCCGCGCCCCGAGGCCCGGCCCUGGGGUAGGGAACCGCGCCGAGGAGCUGGAAACUUUCCCGGCAGUUCUCUUUCUAGCUUUCUGUGGUUGACUUGUCCCGAGGAACUUUCUGGGUGCACCCCGAGUGAGCCAGCUUCUUUCUGUUGCAAACAAGUGGAGUCUAGGGUGAGGCAAGAAGCAAAAGAGUGUUGAAAAUGUUAAAGGCUGUGCUGAAAAAGAGCCGAGAGGGAGGAAAGGGGAGCAGGAAGGAGACAGGAGGUGACUUUGGUCCAGAGACUUCUCCCCCAGUCCUGCCCCCUGGCCAUGGUGGUGACUUGUCUGUGAGCAGCGUUCCUGUGGCAGAAGACACCUACAGGGUGAGCUUGGCCAAAGGUGUCUCAAUGUCUCUGCCUUCAUCACCUCUGCUGCCUCGACAGUCUCAUUCGGUGCAAUCAAGAUCAAAUAAAAAAUCCCCAGGUAAGUAAGCAACAAAACAGCACCCUAACUGUCUUCGUUAUAUAUGUAAGGCAUGUAUUGAGAUUAAGCAAAACUAGUGCUUGUAAGAAAUUUCCUGGGAGGUUUUUUCUUUGUUACAGUAACUUCUGGAAGAAGAAAAUCUCUAAAAAACAAAGUUUUGAUUUGAAUUUAGACGAAUUUCUUUAGUUCAGCCUAUAUACAAACUAUUUUGAUUGCUUAGGUUAGACUUUUACCAAGAUUCAGGAUCUUGUUAUCAGUAUCAAUGUUAGUCAUUGGUCUUGUUUUCUUGGUGGUGAAUUAGGAAAUGCUAUAAUCUAAACUCAUUGUAGCGCAUUUAAAGAUUUUGGAUUUUGGCAAGUGUAAUCUGACAGCAGUUCAUUUAUUACUGCCAAGUGUUAUAUACUGAUAUACUUUCCUUGAUUACAUCACUCAGCAUUUGAGUAGAUAUACAAUUUGUGAAAAUUCAGAUUUGUAAAGGGUGGGAACAAGGGUCUCAUGGAUUACUUGUUUAAAGUAUUUUGGCUUCUUUCAUCAUUACCAACUUUUUGCACUUAACAUUACCAAUGAAAACACAAACGUUAGUUAACUUUGAGAGGUUACGAAUCAGACGUGAGGAAAGCCUUUCCAGAAUGCUGAUACCUGCAAUCAUGAAAGUUCUUUGAUCUUCUUUUAUGUUUGCUGAGCAUUUGUUUUCUGCGGGUAGGAUAGUUUGGGGUCUUUAUUGAUCAAUCAUAUGCCAGUGAAAGGAUUCUUCUCAUUUAUCCAUGAAUGUGUUUGGGAUUGGUCUACAUUGUGUCCUGGGCCUAUAAAAUUGGUAUCUGUUUUUCUGGUUUCCUAAAUGUUUGUAUUAUUUGAGAUGUGAUAGGCGUGAUUUCUGAAUCAUUUAGUGGAUAUUUGCAGUUUGUGUGGUGACAAAAUUAAGAGGACAAACCUUGACGCUUUGAAUGUUAGAAAUGAUGCUAUGAAUUGGUAAGUGUCCAAAAUCUUUUAUUGUCCUAGAGCUUUCUUAUUUUGGACAACAUUGUUUACAAUCCAGUCAUUAGCUGGAACUUGGAAACCUUUUUGGUAUGAAGCAAUUUCCUGUGCCAAGGAAUUUGACCUGUUUAUCAGUAUUUGGGGAAAUUCCUGGAAUGUCCUUCUUUCUCUUUGCCUUUCCCUACGACUGUAUCUCUGUCAGAUUUCUCUUCUUCUUUCAAAUCCUGGUUCCCACACUGCCUUUCUUGCUGGUUACCCCAUUGGAAUGACUCUGCAAAUUGUACGUAGCGUUAUACUUUUUUCUGUAUCAGCCACGUCAUUUGCCCUUUUUCCUUGAAUCAGUGUGUUCAUGUGCAUCCUGUGUCUGGUGGGCAUGGACAGGCACGAUGUCUUCUUUAAGUAUACCUCAUCUAUAAAAAACAGAUAAUAGAAUUCUGAACCUAUCUGGAUUCCUAAGGGAAUAGUACUUGCAAGUGCCAAGUGCAGAGAUACGACCUUUAGGAGAAUUUGCCCUCCUAUAUAGCCUGUGCUGCUGCAAAGGAAUUGAUGCUUCUUGGGCCUUAGGCCUGGUGAAUGCCUAAGAGAGUAGGGAAUAUGCAUUUCAGAUAGGAUUUUAUUAUUAACAAAUUAAAGGUUUGUUUUAGUGGAACUUCAAUCUUCUUUUUAAUUUUUCUUAAUUUGAUUUCUUUCCAGUUCUAUGAAGAUACACUUGACCCAUAACACUGUGUGUGUUUCAUGUGUAUAACAUAGUGAUUUUGAAUAUGCAUGUGUAUAUUACAAAAUGAUUACAUUAAGGUUAAUUAACACAUCUAUCACCUCAUAUAGUUAUAAUUUGUUUAUUUUAUGAGGUUUUAGUGGGAUGUUAGGUAGCAAUGAAUGGCAUGGCAAGCAUGGGAAGUAUGGCUAUCCAGAAGUGUCUCAGAGUCUAUAGGCUCACUGGCCAGAAAUCGCUGACGAGGCCUGGUCUCCUGCGUCCUGACCAAAUUUGAUAUCCUUAGUGUUGAGAAAAUAUCCUAUAGUUUGUUUCUUCUCCAUGGGAAUAAAAUUUAUUUCUGCUAAACUCUUCGCAAGGCCUUAUGAAUAGAAGAGAGUAGUUUUGCAACAUUCAACUUUUUAAUGGAUUGAAGAAAAUACUCUCCAUUUAGAUGCUUUGGGUCCAAAUUUAAUACACUAAGCAGAUUCUCCUCUAACGGAGCCAUGCUUGUGCGUUGCCUAAAUUUGUGCAGCAAAUUAGUGUCUCACAGUGGUAAUUUGGCUUCAUUAUCUUGGCAAUUUUAAUUCAAAAGGGAAGCUAAGGGCAGAGAUGCUUGCUUAAAAAUGGCGUGACUCAGAGUACAUCAGACAAUAAACAAUGUUUUUCUACAGUGUCUAACACAGGCAGGUUUCUGUUCAAGCCAUAUUGUUAGAAAAGUACCCAGAGACCUACUGUUCUACCUGCCUGUAAAAUAAGUUGAC
Molecule: long non-coding RNA, 3053 nt
Organism: Panthera uncia (snow leopard)
Lineage: Eukaryota; Metazoa; Chordata; Mammalia; Carnivora; Felidae
Exons: 4
Source: RefSeq, a predicted model, not a curated record